Molecule: long non-coding RNA, 1119 nt
Filed under: Equus asinus (donkey)
Lineage: Eukaryota; Metazoa; Chordata; Mammalia; Perissodactyla; Equidae
Description: lncRNA (ENSEASG00005028819.1)
Source: RNAcentral
UACAAAGAGAUCAGGCAAUGUCAUCUAACUCUACCUGCUGCUUGGUAAUGAAGUUAAAUUCACACUUUGCAGUAAUUUGUUAAAUAGAGUGAGGUUAUGACCUACCCAUAGUGCAAUUAAAAAACACACACAUACCCUGUUAAAUUCAGUGCUAUCAAAAACUGUGUUUUGGGCAUUGAUAUCACUUUCCUUGGGCAUAGUAAAUUUAAACCUGGCCUGGGAACUGACAAUUCAUUAUUACACAAACACUUCCAGAGAGUAAAAAAGACAAUUCCCAGCUCAUUUUCUGAGGCUAGUAUGUCUUGUAUUGUAAAACCAGAGAGAUAAAGUACACGAAAGGAAUAUUACAGGUCAAUCUCACUCGUAAAUAUAGAUACAAAAAGUCUAAAUAAAUAUUAGCAAACCACAUCAAGUAAUGUAUUAAGAAGAUUACUGCAUCAUGCUCAAGUUGAGUUUAUCCUAGGAAAACAAAUACAAUUUACUUUAGAAAAAUAUUUGUGUGUAUGUCUAUAAUUUGUGUUAAUAGAUUAAAAAAAGAAAAAUGAUACAGAAAAUUAUUUUAUUAAAUUCAUCGCACAUUCAUUAUAAAAACUCUUAGCACACUAAGAAUAAGUCCUAUAUUCUUUCCCUCAUAUAAGGCAUCUAAUUAAAACUUGCAGCAAACAUUAUUCUAAAUAAGAAUAAGAAAUAAAGUUUCCUGUGCUGUUGUAAGAAGUUACCAUAAACUAGAUUGCUUAAAACAGCAGAUAUUUGUACUCUCACGGGUCUGGAGGCCAGGAGUUCUAAAUUAUUACUAGGCUGAAAGCAUGGUGUCAACAGGAUUAUGCUCCCUCCAGAGGCUUUAGGGGAGAGUAUGCUCCUUACCUCUUCCAGCUUCUCUUGGCUGCUGGCCUUCCUUGGUCACAGUGCCUUCUCUUCACUUAUGUGUCAAAUCUCCAUUUGCCUCUCUCUUAUGAAGACAUUUGCGGUUGCAUUUAGGGCCCACAUUGACAAUACAGGAUUAUCUUCCCAUCUCACAAUCCAUAACUUAAUCACAUCUGCAAAGCACCUUUUUUGCCAUGCAAAAUAACAUUUGUAGGUCCGAGGGAUUAGGACAUGGAUAUGUUUUGGGGACCAUUU